GACGAACGCUGGCGGCGUGCUUAACACAUGCAAGUCGAACGCUGAAGCUCAGCUUGCUGGGUGGAUGAGUGGCGAACGGGUGAGUAACACGUGAGUAACCUGCCCUCUUCUUUGGGAUAACGCCCGGAAACGGGUGCUAAUACUGGAUAUUCACUGAUUCUCGCAUGGGGGUUGGUGGAAAGGUUUUUUCUGGUGGGGGAUGGGCUCGCGGCCUAUCAGCUUGUUGGUGGGGUGAUGGCCUACCAAGGCUUUGACGGGUAGCCGGCCUGAGAGGGUGACCGGUCAGAUUGAGACUGAGAUACGGCCCAGACUCCUACGGGAGGCAGCAGUGGGGAAUAUUGCACAAUGGGCGAAAGCCUGAUGCAGCGACGCCGCGUGAGGGAUGGAGGCCUUCGGGUUGUAAACCUCUUUCGCUCAUGGUCAAGCCGCAGCUUGGGGUUGUGGUGAGGGUAGUGGGUAAAGAAGCGCCGGCUAACUACGUG
RNAcentral lists this ribosomal RNA (482 nucleotides) under uncultured bacterium. RNAcentral's name for it is "partial 16S ribosomal RNA". It matches the Rfam family "Bacterial small subunit ribosomal RNA", at positions 28 to 507 of the family's 1533-position model. The record is from RNAcentral.